AGUGAUGAAGAUCACGAAGAAAUGACAGGCAUGAGUUCAGAAAAAGGUUAUAGUGAAAUGAUAAAAAAAAGUGCUGAGGAUGAGAAGAACAUUUUUUCCCAAAAUAUUGAGUAAGAUAUCCAUGGGAAUCAAAAACAACUACCAGCUCUGACAGAAAAAAACACAUUCUAACUCCUGUAUCAUGGAAUCCUGCCUGAAUUUCAGAGUUUCAUCACGCUGUUCUAGACAGAGAAACCUCACAUCUGUAAACUCCUUACAAGCAUGUUUGAGUUGUGUAAGAGCUUUUUUCAGUCUGUGUAUGAAAACUGAAAUUAUCCCAGAUUGUGGUGUGAAAGAUCUACUGAAACUAAAUUCCAACAAAGAUUCAAAUCUACUUCCCAGGAUAAAGAUGUGUGUUGGACUGUUCUAUACUUGUCAACUUGAAAGGCUGCAUCAGGAAAGUACUUAUUGGCUACCAGAUUUCUUUCAAAAACUAGAAGGUGCAUAAAAAUCUGCACGUUCUUACCUCAUGUCCAAACUACCUCUUAACAAAAGCAUCCUAACUUCUCUUUCAGCCCUGUAUCCAGCCCUUCACAGGAAGAGUUAAGCAGCAGAUGCCUUGAUAGCAAUAGGCAAAUACAUGCUAGACAUUAUCCAGGGAGCAUCUAGACAAUUGGCAAUGGAAUGUAGAAAAUAUUUUGUUGACUCCACCUUGAAUCAAGAAAACUUGAUAUACAAGAUAUACACAUUGACAGCAAUUGGUGGGCACACAUCAUAAAGCUCCCAAAGUAAAUCACUAUUUCCAAGCUGAUUAAGGCAUUGGUAACAUUUCUCUGGACCUCACAUUGAAGGAACAUUCAAUGUUGUGAACGAUGGCCAUGAAAGUGAUUGAACAAACAUGGGAGUGGACAUGUAUUAAAUCAUGAUUAGAGUCAAGCUAACAAUGAAAGCUAAUAAACCAGUACCACUGACAUGAGGGGCACAGCUAUACAGAGAAUAAAGUGACACAAAGCUCAUUCCAAGUAUCUUGACAGCCUGAAGAACUAAGUGAAAGUAGCACAGGUGAAGAGAACCAAUGACUUGAAAAAAGCAAUGGCAAAGAGGAACCAGAGGAAGGAGAAGAUGGAAAAGCUGUUAGUAUUAAUGAGGCAAAGAAAAAAAAGGAAAAAAAGAAAGCAUGAGAGAUAGGUUUUAUACCACAAAGAUCAGACCAAAAUAUUCAAGAGCAAAGACAGGAGUUCCAGUAAGAUUCAUAAAGUGUCAGAAAGAGUUGGAUUAUCAUCCAACAAGAGCUGAUAAACAACACAUUUUUCUGAACACCAAGUAUUUCUGCAGAGUAUUUUAGGUACAAACAACAACAGUGUACAGUAGGAGACUGUUUAUGACAAAACUUUUCAGAUGCUGAAUAGAAAGUGAAUUUAUCUGCUUCAUUUAAUUGUUUCUAAUUCAACUGCUUUUUUUUAUUAUUACACUUGUACUGUAUAUGAAGCUGACAGAAAAUUUGAAUUACCAAUCUUAGUGUACUGGAAUGGAUUGAAAUGAUAUGCAUAAAUACAAAUAAUAUUAGAAAUUUUUUGAAGGGAACUAAUAGAAAAUUAAUUUAUACAAUUCAUUUUCUUGCAGCUAUUAAUGAUUGUGCAAUUUGUAUUUUGAUGCUGCAUUCAUUUUAAAUACUUACUUUGAAAAAGGGGAAGAUAUGUUGAACUUAUUGUCUAGAACACUACUUAUUCGUACUAUACAUUAUUUUGAUGAAGUUAAUCGUUUUUUAUUCAGAAUAAAAUAAAGAUUAACUUUGGAACACAGA
RNAcentral lists this long non-coding RNA (1783 nucleotides) under Limulus polyphemus (Atlantic horseshoe crab). RNAcentral describes it as "uncharacterized LOC111087742, transcript variant X2". Lineage: Eukaryota; Metazoa; Arthropoda; Merostomata; Xiphosura; Limulidae. The record is from RNAcentral.